UACGUAGGUCGCAAGCGUUGUCCGGAAUUACUGGGCGUAAAGCGUGCGCAGGCGGUGAUGUAAGACAGAUGUGAAAUCCCCGGGCUCAACCUGGGAACUGCAUUUGUGACUGCAUCGCUGGAGUGCGGCAGAGGGGGAUGGAAUUCCGCGUGUAGCAGUGAAAUGCGUAGAUAUGCGGAGGAACACCGAUGGCGAAGGCAAUCCCCUGGGCCUGCAGUGACGCUCAUGCACGAAAGCGUGGGGAGCAAACAGG
This 253-nucleotide ribosomal RNA is filed under the name uncultured bacterium. RNAcentral's name for it is "partial 16S ribosomal RNA". It matches the Rfam family "Bacterial small subunit ribosomal RNA", at positions 524 to 776 of the family's 1533-position model. The record is from RNAcentral.